GACCUUGUAAGGCUAAUCGGUGAGAUACACGAUGUUCGUCUUGAAAACCCUUGUGUCGGUGGUUUGAUUCCGCCCCGGGGCCACCA
RNAcentral lists this transfer RNA (86 nucleotides) under Pseudoduganella umbonata. RNAcentral's name for it is "tRNA-Ser". Lineage: Bacteria; Pseudomonadati; Pseudomonadota; Betaproteobacteria; Burkholderiales; Oxalobacteraceae. The record is from RNAcentral.